RNAcentral lists this ribosomal RNA (414 nucleotides) under Triticum aestivum (bread wheat). RNAcentral's name for it is "partial small subunit ribosomal RNA". The record is from RNAcentral. Lineage: Eukaryota; Viridiplantae; Streptophyta; Magnoliopsida; Poales; Poaceae.
AUGGCCGCCGCCUCGCCCGAGUUCUUCAACCCGGCGGACGCCUUCUCGCCGCGCAUGCACCUCCUCUCCGCCGGCGCUGGAGACGGCGGCUGUGGCGACGGCGACGAAUACUACCGCUGCUGCAGGACGCCCACGGGCGCCGGGAUCGGCUGCCUGGGCCAGGCGGCCACCUGCCCGCCGGCGCCGCGGAAGCCGCGCGCGCAGCCCGACGCGGCCUGCCGGAAGCGCCUCUUCGACGUCCAGGUCAUCAGCCUCCGCUUCGACGACCUCGACGCCAUCUUCCGCCCCUCGCCGCCGCCGCCCUGCCACGACCGCAACAACAAGCAGCAGCAGCGGCGGCAGCGGAGCCGCCGCGUGCUCGGCAGGCUCGCCGCUGGCUCCACCGGCCGGCGCAGCCGCGCCAGCUUAAAUUAA